Long non-coding RNA from Hippocampus zosterae (dwarf seahorse), 1549 nucleotides. RefSeq lists it as uncharacterized. The record is from RefSeq and is a predicted model, not a curated record. NCBI's taxonomy places the organism in Eukaryota, Metazoa, Chordata, Actinopteri, Syngnathiformes, Syngnathidae. The transcript has 3 exons.
UCAUGAUUCACCAUCACAGUGUUACCCCACACUCCAGGAUGUUAAAAGAAGAACACGGUCUCUCAAAUACAAACACGGUUUGUAUUUCACCGAAAAGGUGAAUCCGUUAUUCGAGAUGCCACGGCAGAUAUCCAGUGAGAAUGCAAAUCUAAAAGGACAACAAAGAAAAUGUCAUUUACUUCUCCUCAUCGUCGGCCUUGGGUGUGUCCUCCAAGUCACGCUCAAUGUUUCGCUACGCCUUGUCUGGUCCUCACGAUUCCAUUUGGAUUGCAAUAAAACUUGCGCAACCAGUCAGAGCCAUGUGAUGGAGACUCACAAGGAUUGUGACAAAAAAACAGGACAUCACUGCAACAGAUUACAAGAAAGAUUCAAUGCUUUACAGAAAGAAAGAGACGCACUUCGAAACACCGUCUCAGAAUUGAAGAACUUUGUACGGAGGUGUGUGUAGUGUCUUUGGAACAGCUCAAUUCUCAGGUGAUACGGCUGGAGUUUUUUUCCCUCUACCUACUCGAAUCUCUGUCUUUCUGAUGACACCAUCCUCAGGAUAUUGAAGAACUGCAUUUUCUUUUUGUUUCAAAAUGUCAUUUACGUGUUUGCUUUGUGCCAAUACUACAAUUGGAAGGGAACAAUAGAGAAAUCAGCUCUAUGUAUGCAUAUAUUCUCAUGUUCACUCUUUAUGUUGGGCAUCAAUAAUGACUGAAUAUAAAAUGGAAAACUUUACAAGGCACAGAUGCAGAUGACCAAAUACUGAUAAGAAUUUACUUUACAACCACCCCAUUACGUACACCAAGUUAAUGAAGUCAAGUUAAAAUUUAGAACUUCACUGCAUCAUGAUGAUUUCAAUUAUACAUCAACAACAGUGGAAAGGACGGGACCAUUUUUGAUUCUGGGGCCAGGUGUAAAGUUUUAUUAUGACAAUAGUUUCAAUGGAAGGAAGGCGCUUGCUUGAGUAAUGCCUUACUUGCUACUUUGCUUGUUGCCAUAGACCCGGUUUACUCUUGCUUCUUGUUUACCUGAUGUCGUUGUUUUUUUUGCGGCGACCUUUGGUCGUUGUUUUUUGUUUUCGGUAUUUAGUUUGUAGCACUUUACAUCCGUGUGCUAUUUUUGUAAAAUAAAUCCACUUUGAUGGCUAACUGCAUUGUGAUCUAUCCUUUUGGCUUGCUUUGCCAAUUAUGAGUAAAAUACAGUGUAAAACAACUAGCAGGCUACUUCCUGAUUAAGAUACAUGUGACAAAAGUGGAGCAGGUAAGUGCGGAUUUGGAGUUGAAUUGUGCACUUUGAUACAGCAUGCUAUUUGGCAUGCGUGUUGAGAAAAAAAAGUGCUAGCCACAAAUGCAAGAUAAAAAGGGAAGGGAAAAAAUCAAUAUGCCCACCUGAUGGGCAUCUGUGAUGUUGCUUUGCUCAGAAACCAUGUUUAGAUUGUUAUAUAAGCAUGACAUUUGCUAAGGGUGUUUCUUGUAGAUCACCUUCUCAAGUGUAGUAUAUAGGAAUGGAAAACAACAGCAACAAAAAAAAAACCUCAACAUGGCAGUUGUUUUGAAGAACAACA